CCUACGGGGGGCAGCAGUGAGGAAUAUUGGUCAAUGGGCGCUAGCCUGAACCAGCCAAGUAGCGUGAAGGAUGACUGCCCUCUGGGUUGUAAACUUCUUUUAUAUGGGAAUAAAGUGCAGUAUGUAUACUGCUUUGCAUGUACCUUAUGAAUAAGGAUCGGCUAACUCCGUGCCAGCAGCCGCGGUAAUACGGUGGAUCCGAGCGUUAUCCGGAUUUAUUGGGUUUAAAGGGAGCGUAGGCGGGUUGUUAAGUCAGAUGUGAAAGUUUGGGGCUCAACCGGAAAAUUGCAGUUGAUACUGGCAACCUUGAGUACAGUAGAGGUAGGCAGAAUUCGUGGUGUAGCGGUGAAAUGCUUAGAUAUCACGAAGAACUCCGAUUGCGAAGGCAGCCUGCUGGACUGAAACUGACGCUGAUGCGCGAAAGUGUGGGUAGCAAACAGGAUUAGAUACCCUAGUAGUC
RNAcentral lists this ribosomal RNA (460 nucleotides) under uncultured bacterium. RNAcentral's name for it is "partial 16S ribosomal RNA". It matches the Rfam family "Bacterial small subunit ribosomal RNA", at positions 338 to 795 of the family's 1533-position model. The record is from RNAcentral.